Pseudonaja textilis is the source of this 2346-nucleotide non-coding RNA. NCBI's taxonomy places the organism in Eukaryota, Metazoa, Chordata, Lepidosauria, Squamata, Elapidae. The record is from RefSeq and is a predicted model, not a curated record.
UCUUAAGUGCUAUUGCUAUUGCUUAUCCUGGGACCUUUAAUAGGCCCAACAUUAUUGUGCUCCAGGACUUCAAAUAGAUAUUGUCUAAAAAGCUACAUAGUUAAAUGGCCUAAAACUGAGUUCCAUAUUAAGGUUCGCUGCACCAAACAAUUCUCAUGUGUAGAGCCAUUAAAGUAAGUAUGCCGAUGUUGCUGCUCUUGGUUGCCUUCUAAAUUUCCCAUCCAUAGAAGUAUUAGUCUUCAUUCUCAUGCAGAAAUGGAUCAGAUAACUUACCAGGUCGGCAGACUAAGAUAGUACUCUCAUAAUGACAUUUUCAAGGAUGGAGAAGGAAGUUGUUUGUGUUUCUAUUUGGCUUUGACAUGUCAAGAGUAGCAUAAAGUGACCCAGUGUAUCAUGGGAAAUGAAAGUGACCAUGCUGGAAGGCCUCCGUGGAAGUAGCAGGAACCCAUCCACACGUAGGCCCUGCCAUUUCCUGCUACUUCCACAGAGACCUUCCAGCACGGUCACUUUCAUUUCCCAUGAAAUGAUCUUUGCCCAUUCACCUGCUAACGUAGCAAACUUCCAGCCAUCUCCUUUCUCAGCUGCUCUUAUUUCGUAAAUGUCUGUGGAUUAAAAAAUGGUGUCUUCAGGAAAGAGCUCUCUCGUCAUUUCCUGAAUCGACUUCCAUUGGAAUAUAGCAAGAAUUCUGAAUGCUGUUAAGAUUUACUGCUAUGAUUAGGCCUUAAGUUGCUCCACCCCACUGGUCCCUGAGCUACACCUUUUAAUAUGGAUUGAGUUGUACAUUUUAAUACAGAGUAAUACAUGAACAGAAAUCCUUCUGAAGCAGUUUUAUUUGGAGAAUCUUACUUUGCUUUAUUCAGUAGGAUACCGAGACAUCAAUGUAUCAAGUAUAAGAGCUCCAAUAGUUCUGAUUAGUUGACUCUUUAAAAAUCAACAUCUGAUUCAAUGGAAAUGAUUGGAAAAAUCACAGUCUAAUCCAUAAAUGAAUUGUGGUAGAAAACACAUAAAAGCAGCAGUAGAACAAUUUACACCUAUCUAUGGUAACUGGCUAUGUUAAAGGUUUUGUAUAACCAUCUACAUCAUCAAACUGACCAACAGAACCUGAAAAAAAUAACCAAAAUAUUGCAGUGUAGAUAUUGUAGAUGUUGAACUGUUGCUGAGUUCUAGCCAACUAUGAUGUCUAUCAAGCUAUUACAUUCUGUUUCUUUUCUUUCUCACUUUCUAUUAACCUGUGUAUGAUUUGGUAGGCACCAUGCAGUGUGCCAAGCUAAAUCAGUGGCAAAACCAGAUGGCUAGAAUAGGGCAAAUUUGGGUCAGGUAAGAACCAUCACAAAAAAAAUUGAAGAGUAUCUUUCAGCUUAUUGUGAACCCAUGGUAUCUGAUCAUAAACAUCUCUCAUUUAUUUAUUUCUUAGUAAAUUUCUAGUACCAACUUUCAUGGCAUCGUUUCAGCCCCAUCCUUUCGCACUUAGACUUCAUUGUAAAGGGAGCAUUCUCAUUUCUCAUAUGCAUGCUAAAGAUGAGAAAGCCUUUAUACAACCAUUUUUCUUCAUUCAAUUAAUGGAUCAAGCUAGAAAUACUUCUAUAAUGAACAGCUUUAUUAAAAUUUCAGGGCUGCCAAGAGAGUCAGAAAAUUCCUGAAAUGGUUCUGCUAAAUAAGACAAAGGGUUAGGAAUUAGAAGUUCUAUAUUUCUCAGAAAGCAGAGGUAGGAGGAAGAUUGCAGAGGGAAAUUGAACAAAGGGAGGAAGGGAUAGAAGUGACUCUUGCGGCGUCUUUCAAUUCUUGCAUGCAGCUGUAACCCCAUCCUAGCAACCUUACACAAUUCUGCAUUUAGCCAAAGUGUGUCCAGAAAGGCAGGCAUGUGGCCUUAGAAUAUAAUUUACAAGGAAGAACUGUGAGGUUAUGCCCUUGACAUAACAGUCCCCAAUUCUCCCAUACAGUAUUCUUUCCUAGAUUGUUUUGCUAUUCUAACAUGAAAUUGAGGUCAAAUAUCUACUGAUUUAAGUCUUGUCAUUUGAAUUCCCCAAGCAAUAUGGAACCUUGGAUAAACAUACUGUAUAUAAAUUCUAAACUUGCUUGACUCCAGUAAGAUUAGAGAAGUUCCUUAUUUGAAAAGGUAUUCUCUCACACUUCCAAAGGAAGUGAGCAAUUUAGUUACUUUCUCUGAAAAGCCAAGAGAUGGAGAUCCUGAGUUCACUCAAAUGCUUCCUAGAAGUCAGCCCAGCUGGAGAAGGGAUGGAAGUAGCAACAUCAUUAAUCUAUAUUGUUUUGAUUUUAAGACUCCUUAGGUCCUCUAAACCUUGUGAAGCUUAAAUUAUUAAGUACAACUUAUGCUAACCUAACAAU